Long non-coding RNA from Bos taurus (domestic cattle), 1136 nucleotides. The record is from Ensembl. NCBI's taxonomy places the organism in Eukaryota, Metazoa, Chordata, Mammalia, Artiodactyla, Bovidae.
ACUAAACCCACGUGCUGCAGCUACUGAAGCCCACAAGCCCUAGAGCCUGUGCUCAGCAACAAGAGAAGCCCCUGCAAUGAGAAGCCCCCACACCAAAAUUAGAGAGUAGCCCUGACUCUGCAAGUAGAGAAAACCCGAGUGCAGCAAUGGAGACCCAGUGCAACCCAAAAAUUUAAUUAACUAAUUAAAAAAAUAAAACUUGGUCAGAAAUGUCCCUGCUGGUCCAGUGCUUAGGAAUCCACCUUGCAAUGCAAAGGAUGUGGGUUUGAUCCCUGGUCGGAGAACUAAGAUUCCACAAGCUGAGGGGGAACCAAGCCUAUGCACCGCAACGAAGAUCCUGCAUGCUGCAACCAAGACCAAAUGCAGUCACAUCAAAAAAUAUUUUUUUAAAAAGAAAAACUGGUCAGUUCUAUGAAAAGAGUAACAGAACUGGCAUUGAGCAUGACGGAAACCAGACAAUCUCCUCUGGACACUUUAUUUUCCUCUCCCUCCUUUCAAGAGCUUCCUGGCUUCCUGGAAUUCCUAACCUGGACAUGAACAGCCCAGAGACAAGAUGUUUAUGACUGAGUUACUUCUGCAACUUCUCAUCUGUUGGUGGGUGUUAUACCUGCUGCGGACUAAAGUCAGGGAGCUGGACCUGGGCAGCUUGAUUAACUGGAUUUGGACACCAUGGCUUGACUCCACAAGCACCCAACUGUCCCCGACUUGCCUUGGCUCCUCGCCACAUGCGCAUCUGUGUGGCCCGUGGGGAAAGGUCAAGGUCAUGCGGCUUUUUCAUAGAGGCCAUUUGGUCACAUGGAUUCCCAGCAAGAGAAGGAGGAUGAAUCACAGCAGCUCCAUCGCCCUGUAACAAACAGCUCCGAACGCAUGCCCCACUGAGCAUGAGUCAGGUUGAGUGCAGAAUCAGAGGCCAUCUCCUUCCCAGCUUUCUACAUUUUUCUGUCUUGCUUCUCUUCCUGGGUUUGUUUUGCCUUUAGGUUUUCUUUUCUUUUUCAACUUUAUACCUAGGUUUUGAGACUUUCCCCUAGGUGUCUUGGCUAAGAAAGAGGCAGCACAUGUUUUUCUUAAGAAAUGCAUUCGGUAUAAAUACAGUAUAUUAUUCCUACAUUUUAUAUAGCAUAUUUAUAUUAUAUCUC